GGUAUCUUUUUAAAUUCCCGAAGGAGGUUUAUUUAUUCAUUUAUCUAUGGUAUAUUAUAGAAAUAUUUUGUUAUUUCUUAUUGCCCCAAUAAAACAGUUAUUAAAACUAUAAAGAUCUAUAGGGUCUUAUCGUCUAAAAAAUUUAUUAAUGCAUUUUUACAUUAAAUUAAACUUCAAAUAUUUUCUAUGAAACAGUCUAUCCCCCAUUCAAUCGUUCAUACAAGUCUUCAAUUAAAAGACUAUUGAUUAUGCUACCUUUGUACGGUCAAGUUACCGCAGCCCUUAAAAGCUCAGGGGGCAGAUUAUAUCUUUAAUUUAACCUAAAGAAA
RNAcentral lists this ribosomal RNA (329 nucleotides) under Euborellia plebeja. Its description in RNAcentral is "partial 16S ribosomal RNA". The record is from RNAcentral. Lineage: Eukaryota; Metazoa; Arthropoda; Insecta; Dermaptera; Anisolabididae.